Molecule: ribosomal RNA, 497 nt
Filed under: uncultured bacterium
Lineage: Bacteria
Description: partial 16S ribosomal RNA
Rfam family: Bacterial small subunit ribosomal RNA
Source: RNAcentral
GAUGAACGCUGGCGGCGUGCCUAAUACAUGCAAGUCGAGCGAACGGACGAGAAGCUUGCUUCUCUGAUGUUAGCGGCGGACGGGUGAGUAACACGUGGAUAACCUACCUAUAAGACUGGGAUAACUUCGGGAAACCGUAGCUAAUACCGGAUAAUAUUUUGAACCGCAUGGUUCAAAAGUGAAAGACGGUCUUGCUGUCACUUAUAGAUGGAUCCGCGCUGCAUUAGCUAGUUGGUAAGGUAACGGCUUACCAAGGCAACGAUGCAUAGCCGACCUGAGAGGGUGAUCGGCCACACUGGAACUGAGACACGGUCCAGAAUCCUACGGGAGGCAGCAGUAGGGAAUCUUCCGCAAUGGGCGAAAGCCUGACGGAGCAACGCCGCGUGAGUGAUGAAGGUCUUCGGAUCGUAAAACUCUGUUAUUAGGGAAGAACAUAUGUGUAAGUAACUGUGCACAUCUUGACGGUACCUAAUCAGAAAGCCACGGCUAACUACGUG